UACAGAGGGGGCAAGCGUUGUUCGGAAUUACUGGGCGUAAAGGGCGCGUAGGCGGCCCGCUAAGUCGAACGUGAAAUCCCCGAGCUCAACUCGGGAACUGCGUCCGAUACUGGUGGGCUUGAAUCCGGGAGAGGGAUGCGGAAUUCCAGGUGUAGCGGUGAAAUGCGUAGAUAUCUGGAGGAACACCGGUGGCGAAGGCGGCAUCCUGGACCGGCAUUGACGCUGAGGCGCGAAAGCGUGGGGAGCAAACGGG
This 253-nucleotide ribosomal RNA is filed under the name uncultured bacterium. RNAcentral describes it as "partial 16S ribosomal RNA". It matches the Rfam family "Bacterial small subunit ribosomal RNA", at positions 524 to 776 of the family's 1533-position model. The record is from RNAcentral.